AAUGUAAACAAACACCCCGCACUCCCGCAGCCCAGUCUCAACACAUGCCAAUUUCAUUGUAUUAACAACAUAGACGAGAUGCGCAUGUAUGAAGCUUUCCAUUCUGCAUCUCCAAAAAAAUAAUUAUCAUGAGACUAUCGUGUAAAUAAUACUAUCAUUUUAAGUUCCCUUCCCGUGAGUCCCUCUCUAAUUUCAACGGAAGAAGCCAAGAUCCCCUCAUCAUCGACAGACUUCAUCAAAAUAAUCGAGAAUCAUGCACAGUCGCCGUCUUUCUAUGGAGAAAGUUGGAUUUUUCACGGGCAUGCUGGAGCAAGAACUAAAUGCAGCCAUGAAAAAAGUUCAGCGAUUAAAACGAAAGGAGCAAGAGGAGGAGGAAUGGUUCAGGUUCAUAGAAAAAUUAAGCUCCUUUGAAGAAAAUGGUCACCUUGUCGCAUCCCCUGAAUCUGCCAAAACAUUUGUAGUUGCAGGAAAUGGUGUCCCGAAAAAUGAAGAUGCUAAUCAAAAUUUCAAGAAGCAAGAAGACUCUGAUUAUUUUGAGAAUACCAACAGCAAAAAGGAUGAAUGCAGAGGUUUGAAUAAUAAACCAAAACCAGCUGACAAUAAUUCAAGGAGACCCACCAGAACAUUGUCUGGAAAUAUUGAUACCUUAUCUAAAUCGACUCAUUGCAGCGGUUGGAGAAGUGUUACUUCUAUUGAUCUGUCGGACAACUCAGAGGCAAAAUCCAUGAAAAUCCUGAAAGCAGCUCCUUCUCAUUGUUGGAAUAAGACAAAUUCUGCAUCAUAUUCAUCUUUAAAGCUCAAUGGACCUUUCACUGAGGGUGCGGAUGGAAGUAAUGUAUUGGAGGAAGCUCCAGCCACAAAAUUAACGCGGCUGCCAAGCUCUUCUCUAAAACUCAGAGAUCCACCUAAAGAAAUCUGGAAUGAGGAGGAUAGGCUGGAAGAAACUCAGUCCCGUGCCUCCAACAAACCAGUUCCACAUGCCUCUGCUUUGAAGGUGGAAAAUUGUACCAAUUGGUCCAGAAAUAGUAAUAUUGAAUUGAACAUCUCUGCGAAAGGAACACGAUCAGUAGCCCGCACCAAUAUUCCCAGGGCAACUGUUCCUCUGUCUCAGUUGAGAGUCCUCAACAGUCGUUUGGUGAUGGUUAUGUCCAGCAUUUACACUUUAAUUGACACUUUUGAAGAGGUGCCAGAAGAUGAAAAUUUCUUGAAAAAACGAAAUCAAGCCUUUGCUUUUUCAUCUCGACUCACAAGCAAUCACUUGUACAAUCUGAACAAGCUGGUGAGAGAAAUUGAAAAAUUACCGGUUCCCAGUUCACUCACUAAUGAAAAUUAUCUUAGUGGGCUGACACACAAGCUACGAAGUGCAUUUCAAUGUGCUUUAAGCGCAUCCCAGAUGUGCGAGCGCUAUCUUCAGUCAGGAAAACUAUUUCUGGUUGCAGACAAAAUAUUGGAGCUCCUGAAGUUAACUUUGGAACUUCUAAGCAGCAGUAGGAAAAAGACAGUGAAUACUCACCUAGAUAGAAUAAUUGAAAUAUCUGAGCUGAAUCUAAAAAUUGAAUCCAUUCUGAAGUUGAUUGAGUAUCGUAUAGUCAAAAACAGAGCUGAAGAAGCUCGAAAGAUUACAAGUCAGGUAUGGAACAAAACUCCUUCAGUGCGGCUUAAUACAAAAGCCAAGAGAAAAUUUGGCCAACCACAAAAACUCUCCAUGUAUUCUCAGAAUGCAAUGAAGAAAAAUACGAGAAGACCUUUAAGAAAACCUCUUCUUCCGGCAAGUGAUGUUGAUGUGGAACCCCGUGUGAUUACUUUAACGGAAUUAGUCCCUAGUCCUGUGACCACCCCAGCAGGUGAAAAGAACUUCCCCAUGAAACCCUCAGUGAAAAGUAUCUUUCCACAAACACGCAAGAGUACCUUAUCUCAAAAUAUUUCAUCCCAUCAGUUGCUGUCGCAUGUAUCAUCUUCUGGAGAAAAACAAGAUUGGGAGGACGGAAGGUUUGAACCCUCAGGAAAUAGAAAACUCUCCUAUGCAAAGUCAAGCAGUCCAAUGAAAGAGUCUUUAGACUGCGCAGACUGCAAAGUUGUGGAUGCUCCAUGCUCAAGAAAAGAAAGGAACCUCAGCAGGUUGCUCUUUACCGAAAAAUCAUGCGAAUCACGAGCUGAGAAAGACCUUGCAUACCCAUUUAAUAUUGGCAUGAUGUCUGUUGUAAAGGGUGACAUCAAUGAAACACCAUUAGAUAAGGAUCAUUGUUCCACGGUGAAUAUCUCGCCAGAAGAAUUUGAAUCAAUAAUCCAGUACAGAAAAUUGUGUGACAGUUUUAGGAGCCAGUCACCAUUGUACAGUGUUGACGAGUACCCAUGGGAAUCCCUAGAAGAGAUCAGUGAAACGUUAUGCCAUGAAAUCUUGACUCAAGUCACAAGCAAAUUGGAACUAGACUCCAUCAUCCGAAGAAUCUAUAAUCUAGAAUUCAGCUAGUAUUUACAGAGAAUGAAACGGCAUCAGUAGGCUAAUUCUAAACAAUGUAAACGUAUUUGCUGUAGUUUGGAUCAUCAGCUGUUAACAGCACUUUCUCUUAGACCCCUCAACUGAAUGCGACCCCAUCAGUGACGAGUCCAUCAGUGAGAGCUUCCUAAAUGCAAUUUCCUCCAUCUUCAGCCAAAAACCAGGCAGUAGACAAUUUAAAAACAUAGCAUUCAGCUAUCAAAUUAAACAUCAGCAUCAUGGAUGACAGGCCGCAACUCUCGGAGCUCCCUCACAGUCUUAGGAAUUGGCACAGAGGCAUGAAAUGCAGGUUAAUAGAUUUCACCUCCGAAGUGUGCCCUCAAUAUUUUGAAGUUGCAAUGGACUAUUUGUCUCAGCACCCUAGUAUUGCUAUUUUGCUGGUUGCAAUAGCUGUCACCUGGAUCAUUCCUGUCCUGGCUAUUUUACUGUUUAUCGGAUUGUCAGUGUCUGUUUUGAGUCUCUUCUUUUUCGCUGCCCUAGGAACUAUAAUCAUCUUUGCAUCGGGGAUGCUGGUUUCAUGGAUCGUCUUUUUAUGUACUGUUUUGAUCAUUGGAUUGGCAACAAUGGUUAUUGCUUGGUAUGUCUUCUCUUGUUUUGUUGAAUACAUUUUCAGUACCUACGAAGAUGAUGUACCAGUUUCACCCCGAACGAAGAAGAAGUGAGAAGUCGAGCAGUUCAUCACAUUUCGUAUAUUACGCGGUACCCACCUCAUUUGUUUUACUUUGCAUUAUUUUGUUAGCAAAGGGUUAAGGCCAGCCCCUUUUUAACAAAUUUAAAUGUUUAAGGGCCAUCGAUAAAUGAUGUCAGGUACUAAAGGUGGGGGUGGGGGGGAUAGGACUGUCUAACAAAUCCCUUUGAAAGGAGGAUGGGAGAAGGAAUCUGAUAGAGGGGUCGAAAUAGGGUAAAAGAAUUGAAAUGAGUGCCAGGCGUCAUUCAUGGACGGCCCUGCGGAUUAUUUUGUGGCUUUCAAAGUUUUCCCAGAAUGGAAUGUUUUUUCCUUGACUGAAAAUUGUUAAAGUUUAACCAUUAACUUUUUGUUUUAGUGGAGUCCUCAGAAGUUUAUUUUCAGUUGGAAACUGACAUAAUUAGACAAUUCUUAAAAAAAAAAUUGAUGUUAAAAUCGGCAUAAAAAUCAGUAUUAUCCUGAAAUCUGAACCCAAAGACAUAAGCUAUGCUGUCUUACUAUAUAAGUCAGUUUGUACCAAAGAAAUAGGCAUCAAAAUUAUAAGUUGACUUCCAAGAAAAUUUGUAGUGUGAGUAGUUAAAAAGCUUAGGAGACCCUAUUUCUGUAAAUGGUUUUCCUUUUAAGGUCUUAAUCUCGAAAAGAUUUGACGCAGCUCUCUUUUUAAGAUUGGAGGAUGGAAAACUAUGCAUCUCUCUUUUAUGUGUGUGACAUUAGAAGAUUUUUUUUCUAUUCUUUCUUUGUAGAUAUCUUGAACUUUUUUUAACGUUCAAUCUUAAUUAUUCCAUGACAUGAACUCCAAAUAGUCUCAACUUUGAAAUUCUAAGAUUUUUCCCUAAGCAGGGUGUCUGGUUGUCUGCAUCAGGAUUUUCUACCAGGAAUCAUCGAUGAUAUUAGAAUUUGAGGUCCAUCAGGAUUUAAUUCCGAUUUCAUCAGGAUUUGAGAAAAAAUCGGUCGUAAAAUCCAGGUUUUGAGGAAAGUCGGCUGUCCGAUUGGAUUUUUUCAUGCUUUCCUGUACGCUUAUGCAGAACUAUUAAUUUGUCUCUGCAAAGAAUCAGGAUUUGGAAAAAUUAUGAAAUCAGGGCUAAGCAGUAAAAAACCAGGAAAAAUCAGGAUUUCCCAAAAUGAAAAAAAAUUAGACACCCUGCUAAGACAAUCGAGAUGCGCAUACAAUUGAGCAAACAUUUUUUUCAUUCUAAUGGAAACCAGAAAGGUCAAAUCAAAAUAGAAAUCGUUAAGCCAAAUAGAGAGAGUCAGCAUACCAUAAUAUUGCUGUAUUUUUGGAGCAUCUUCUUCUUUUUUUUUUUUUGCCAUAAGAAAAACAAUAACGUAAAGAAGUGUUUUUUAAUCUUCCCGAGAACCUUUACAAAAUUACCUUUGAAAACCUCAUGUUACUAGUGUAUUGAAAAUGAAGAGUGAUCCAAAGACUGAAGUGAUACUUGAAAGAAUAUUGCCAAUCACCAAAGUGGCAACAGAGUUAAAGUAAAGCACCUAGAAAGUUAACCAUGAUGUGAUCUGGAAUCUCAUUUCCAAGGCCCACCAGAUUUUCGUUGUUAGGUAAUGAAAAUAUUGAAUUCUCUCUCUAUUUUUCACUACUGUAAUGUGCACUAGAUAAAACCAUUUUUUGUGUAUAUAUGUCUCUUGCUCUCUAAUGUACCUGGUAUUUUAGCACUUAGUGACUUAACAGAUUAUCCUUAGUUGAAACUUUAUAUGAAUUUCAAAUAAUUGUCAGUGGGUGGUUUAACAGGGUGUCAACAGAUUCAGAAAUGGUCCACACAAUUUCAAAUUGGGACCUUCCCAAUUUUAUAUUUUCGAGACCAAAAACACUGAAAAAGCUUUAUAACUACACCGUUGAAUCUAAACUUUUAUGGUGUUGGUUAAUGGCGAAAGUGAUUUAUUGUCCUAGGAGUUACGCGACAAGCAACUGGACACAUGCGUGAUAACAAGAAACAGGAGGGUAGUCUGCUAAGGCAGCCAUUCUAUGAGCAAAAAUUUCAUAUACCAGCCACGCUCAGUACUUAAUUUUUUCUCUGAGAGGGGAUGUGUAGUAAUAGUUUUGAGAGUCAAGAAAAAUUAAUUAAGAAUUCCAUAAAUUUUAUCGGAGAAUCUCAGUUGACAACCUGGUUAGAAUUAAACAGUAAUCCUGGCGUUGUUUUUUAAGCCGGUUUGACCCUAAAAUUUUUUAGUCCAAUUGUCUUAAAUUGUCAUUUUGAGGCGAAUCUCUGCCUUUAGCCAAGAAAGAAUUCUGCGACAGCAGUCUCACAUUGCAAAAUUUUUUUGUUGAUAGACAUCUACUUGUUUUUCUUCUAAUUUCAAGUCAUUUAAAAUUAAACAGUAAAGUAAAUAUCUUUAACUUUCAAAUAAAAUAACUGUAAAUUAUUUACAAAUAAACUAACAAUGGGUUAAUUAUGAUUGGUGAAAGGAUGUCUUUUAAAAUGUCAUUCACAUGGUUAUCCACCCUGAAUCGAACAUAUGUAUUUUACUUUUUGACACUUCCAACUUUUGAUCUCUGUCGUUUUACCCUAAUUUGUCACACAGUUCUAAUCCUGUCGUUUGCUACCCAAGAAGAGUCAUGUUUUGCAAUUUUAAUCUUUCUAAAAGUAAAAAUAGAAUUUAAGGUUGGAAUUUAAAUUUUCCAUGGGAUGAUUUUGAUGAUUUUUCAACUUCAGUGCAUUUUUUCAUCUUUGAACUUGUAUUUUUAAUUAUAGCUGAAUCAAAUUAUUUCAAACCAAUUAUGUUCAAAAAAACUUUUAUUUUUUCUACUCAUUGAGCAUAAUUAAAUACCAAGAAUAUCAACGAAAAUCAAAGAAUCUUAAGUUCCUGAGCUGCCUGAAAGAAUACCUCUUAAUACUCUUAUGCAUUGGUCUACAAUCAUUUUCCGAAUGCUCUGACCUUCCUGUCAGAAGUCCAGUUGAACCAGAGCAAAAUUCUCCAAAAUACAGGUCUUCUCUAAAAACAGGAAGGUCCAAAGCAAGGAUCUACUUGAGUGGUGCGUCACAGGUUGCUUUCAUAAAGACAUUUUUUAUAUUGUCUUCAAAAUCUUAUUGUUCUCUAUUUUUUACUCUCAUAUGUUAUAUGUAUAUUUUUUUUAAUAAAUCAAAAUCUCAUUGAA
Bemisia tabaci is the source of this 6291-nucleotide RNA transcript. RefSeq lists it as uncharacterized. The record is from RefSeq and is a predicted model, not a curated record. Lineage: Eukaryota; Metazoa; Arthropoda; Insecta; Hemiptera; Aleyrodidae.